Molecule: non-coding RNA, 254 nt
Organism: Schizosaccharomyces pombe (fission yeast)
Lineage: Eukaryota; Fungi; Ascomycota; Schizosaccharomycetes; Schizosaccharomycetales; Schizosaccharomycetaceae
Source: the annotation of a GenBank genome assembly
CGUUAAUCGUUCUUUGGAAAAAGAAAAUGAGAUUCUAAACAUCUAACUCCGUUACUUGCAUCAUGAGAAAGGGAGAAGAACAAAAUGUUAGCUACAAUGAAAAAGGAUUACUUUCGAAAAUUCACUAUUCCACAUCCGUUUUCCCAAAUCCAUCCUUUGCUACUGAUAUACUUCAUUAUUAUUGCACUGAUGUAUUUGUAUAUAAUAACUCUUAGGAAACCCAAAUUCAUCCUACCUUCUAGUUCGGUAAAUCG